Long non-coding RNA from Canis lupus familiaris (dog), 1321 nucleotides. RefSeq lists it as uncharacterized. The transcript is spliced from 3 exons. Lineage: Eukaryota; Metazoa; Chordata; Mammalia; Carnivora; Canidae. The record is from RefSeq and is a predicted model, not a curated record.
GCGAGGCCCCUCCCCCCUUUGUCUCAGGACCUCGGAGGUGCGGGGCCGCGCUCCGCCGGAGCAGGUGGCGCGGCGCUGGCCCUGGCGGCCCCCGAGCGUCCGGGCUUGAUUGCAACCCGCGUGCGAGGGGGAAACGGGAGAAAGAGUGACACCGGGCAGGCGGAGGGCAACUGCCAUUAUUAAGCCCCGGGCUGGCCGGGCGCGGCCACCAGCCCUUCCUCCCCGGUGGCAGCCGAAGCGCGCAGGGCGCCAGCCUGUGUCCUGGGAUGUGGAAGACGCAGAGCCGGGAUACGAACCCGGACCUUUGGCUCUCGGCCGGGCUGAGGAAAAUGAGUAUUCGAACCAGGAUUUGAAAACCGGGAAGGGUUUGAUGAGUGGCAGUGACUAGCGAGCUCUGCCCUCAUCGCCCUUAGGAAGACCUUUGAUUUUUUUAUUUUAUUUUUUUAUAGGCCACACUUUUCCUCCUCGGUAAAAAUGGCUGGACUUAGGAAAACUAAUAACUAAUAUGUCCACCUCCUAGCAAAUUAUUGGAACGAACGUGAGAAAUCACAAGGAGGGGAGUGGAGCAGAGGGAGAAGCAGACUACCUACUGAACAGGGAGCCUGAAGUGGGCUGCGAUCCCAGGACCUUGAUAUCAUGACCUGAGCUGAAGACGGACACUUAACUGACUGAGCCACCCAGGUGCCCCUGAUAUUGUCUAUUCUAGAGAAAUCAUCAACUUCUUGUCCUUUACAAGGAGGAUAUACACUGUUUAGAUUAUGAGGCUCCUGUAAAAGUAGGGGUGCAAGUCCUGGGAAGAAGCAGGAAAAGGAGCAAAAAGCAGAUUUCUCUGAAGUUUUUCAUUUUCCCUAUCUCAAGUGGAUUGACACUACCCAACUUCAGGACUCCUAUAAAGCUACAAUAAUCAAGCCAGUGUGGUAUUUGUGAAGAAUAGAUAAAUACGUCAAUGGAGCAGAAUAGAGUCCCAGAAAUAGACUCACAUAAAAACAGCCAACUCCUUGACCAAGGAGAAAAGGUAAUACAAUGGAGCAAAGAGUCUUUUCAACAAAUGGUGCUGGAACAACUGGGUAUCUAUAUGCAAAAAAAUAAAUCCAGACCUAAAUGUAAAAUGCAAAACUGUGAAUCCCCUAGGAGAUAACAGGGGAAAAUCUGGAUGAUCAUGGAGAUGGUGAUGAUGUUUUAGGUACAACAAAGUCAUGAUCCAUGAAAGAACCAAUAAACUAGACUUCAUUAAAGUUAAAAACUUUUGCUCUGCAAAGGACAUUGUCAAGAGAAUGAAAAGCCAGACUGGGUGAAAAUAUUUGCAGAAGACAUACCUGAU